This 467-nucleotide ribosomal RNA is filed under the name uncultured bacterium. Its description in RNAcentral is "bacterial SSU rRNA". It matches the Rfam family "Bacterial small subunit ribosomal RNA", at positions 62 to 524 of the family's 1533-position model. The record is from RNAcentral.
UCGAACGGGUAACAGGGUCUUCGGAUGCUGACGAGUGGCGAACGGGUGAGUAAUACAUCGGAACGUGCCCGAUCGUGGGGGAUAACGAGGCGAAAGCUUUGCUAAUACCGCAUACGAUCUACGGAUGAAAGCGGGGGAUCUUCGGACCUCGCGCGGACGGAGCGGCCGAUGGCAGAUUAGGUAGUUGGUGGGAUAAAAGCUUACCAAGCCGACGAUCUGUAGCUGGUCUGAGAGGAUGAUCAGCCACACUGGGACUGAGACACGGCCCAGACUCCUACGGGAGGCAGCAGUGGGGAAUUUUGGACAAUGGGCGAAAGCCUGAUCCAGCCAUGCCGCGUGCAGGGUGAAGGCCUUCGGGUUGUAAACUGCUUUUGUACGGAACGAAAAGCCUCUUUCUAAUAAAGAGGGGUCAUGACGGUACCGUAAGAAUAAGCACCGGCUAACUACGUGCCAGCAGCCGCGGUAAU